Molecule: microRNA, 23 nt
Filed under: Mus musculus (house mouse)
Lineage: Eukaryota; Metazoa; Chordata; Mammalia; Rodentia; Muridae
Description: mmu-miR-6392-3p
Source: miRBase by way of RNAcentral
GACGCAGGUUUGCCGGGUCCUCU